GUAUAUGAGGUGAUUAAUUGGAGGGCAAAUCAAGUGCCAGCAGCCGCGGUAAUACUUGUUCCAAGAGUGUGUAUGGUGAUUGAUGCAGUUAAAAAGUCCGUAGUUUAUUUUUUUAAGAAGCAAUAUGAGGUGUACUGUAUAGUUGGGAGAAAGAUGAAAUGUGACGACCCUGACUGGACGAACAGAAGCGAAAGCUGUACACUUGUAUGUAUUUUUUGAACAAGGACGUAAGCUGGAGGAGCGAAGAUGAUUAGAUACCAUUGUAGUUCCAGCAGUAAACUAUGCCGACGAUGUGAUAUGAAAAUGUUAAUUUGUAUUACAUAAUAGAAAUUUGAGUUUUUUGGCUCUGGGGAUAGUAUGAUCGCAAGAUUGAAAAUUAAAGAAAUUGACGGAAGAAUACCACAAGAAGUGGAUUGUGCGGCUUAAUUUGACUCAACGCGAGGUAACUUACCAAUAUUUUAUUAUUUUGAGAGAACGGUUUUUGUUUGAGAAUGAUAAUAGUGGUGCAUGGCCGUUUUCAAUGGAUGCUGUGAAGUUUUGAUUAAUUUCAACAAGACGUGAGACCCUUAUUUUUUAUUAAAGACAGACACAAUCAGUGUAGGAAGGAAAGGAUUAGAACAGGUCCGUUAUGCCCUCUGACAUUUUGGGCUGCACGCGCAAUACAAUAGAUA
Molecule: ribosomal RNA, 671 nt
Filed under: Vairimorpha ceranae
Lineage: Eukaryota; Fungi; Microsporidia; Nosematidae
Description: SSU rRNA
Rfam family: Microsporidia small subunit ribosomal RNA
Source: RNAcentral